CCACCUACCAAUGUUUUGUUC
Molecule: non-coding RNA, 21 nt
Filed under: Arabidopsis thaliana (thale cress)
Lineage: Eukaryota; Viridiplantae; Streptophyta; Magnoliopsida; Brassicales; Brassicaceae
Source: RNAcentral